UACGUAGGGUGCGAGCGUUGUCCGGAAUUAUUGGGCGUAAAGAGCUCGUAGGCGGUGUGUCACGUCGUUCGUGAAAACCUGCAGCUUAACUGUGGGCGUGCGGUCGAUACGGGCAUCACUGGAGUUCGGCAGGGGAGACUGGAAUUCCUGGUGUAGCGGCGAAAUGCGCAGAUAUCAGGAGGAACACCGGUGGCGAAGGCGGGUCUCUGGGCCGAUACUGACGCUGAGGAGCGAAAGCGUGGGGAGCAAACAGG
Molecule: ribosomal RNA, 254 nt
Filed under: uncultured bacterium
Lineage: Bacteria
Description: partial 16S ribosomal RNA
Rfam family: Bacterial small subunit ribosomal RNA
Source: RNAcentral